GGAUUAGAUACCCUGGUAGUCCACGCCGUAAACGAUGAGUACUAGUUAUUGGAGGUAUUGACCCCUUCAGUGACGUAGCUAACGCAUUAAGUACUCCGCCUGGGAAGUACGGUCGCAAGACUAAAACUCAAAGGAAUUGACGGGGGCCCGCACAAGCGGUGGAUUAUGUGGUUUAAUUCGAAGCAACGCGCAGAACCUUACCUAGGCUUGAAAUCCUUCGAAUCCCAAGUAAUGUUGGGAGUGCCCGCAAGGGAAUGAAGUGACAGGUGCUGCAUGGCUGUCGUCAGCUCGUGCUG
This 296-nucleotide ribosomal RNA is filed under the name uncultured bacterium. RNAcentral describes it as "partial 16S ribosomal RNA". It matches the Rfam family "Bacterial small subunit ribosomal RNA", at positions 775 to 1067 of the family's 1533-position model. The record is from RNAcentral.